GUAGGUGAACCUGCGGAAGGAUCAUUAACACAACUGUGAGACCCAACAUCAACCAACCCGUGAACUUGUUAAGCCAGUCAGCUGAGGUGGGAUUGUUCGAUUGUGUGCGUGGCAAGUGGUCAUACACUAGCCGGUCGAACUACGCCGGGCCGGGAGGCCGCCGAGUCUGAUUUGGUCAACCGUACCCCUUAAUCUGCGCAAGCUAACCUGUGGCCGUGUGUCGGUGCACUGACCCGCACAGGUGGGGACACCCCUUUUACUAACGUAAAAACCUAUACUUUGCCCAUGUGCUGAUUCAGCAUUUUUCCAACGUAUCGUCAGGCUAUUGCGGCUUGGUGGUGCACUCCACUUGCGAUCGAAAGGUCCGAGUAGAGGCUGAGGAGAAGUGUCUAUAUACUUUAACGUAUGUACAACUCUUAGCAAUGGAUAUCUUGGUUCUC
RNAcentral lists this unclassified non-coding RNA (440 nucleotides) under rhizosphere metagenome. RNAcentral describes it as "partial ribosomal RNA internal transcribed spacer region". The record is from RNAcentral.